Hevea brasiliensis (rubber tree) is the source of this 640-nucleotide long non-coding RNA. RefSeq lists it as uncharacterized. The transcript is spliced from 2 exons. The record is from RefSeq and is a predicted model, not a curated record. Lineage: Eukaryota; Viridiplantae; Streptophyta; Magnoliopsida; Malpighiales; Euphorbiaceae.
UUAUAUUUUUUGGUUAUAUGUACAAUUAUGGAGCAAAAAGUUAUUAGUUAUUAUUGUCCUUGAUUUGUGGUUUUCUUUGGUUAAAUGAAAUUCUUGGUAUUUUGCAUGAUUACAGUUUUUUAUUUUCCAGUGUCCUGAAAAUUACACAUCACCUGUCUUCAGUUCAAUAAAAUAGUGUCUGGUCUAGCAGCUCAUAGUCUUCAGACAAUAUCCCAUCUUUGUCCACUGUUACCACCAUUUGCCUUACUCCCAGCUUAGCCACUUUCUGCUUUCUCGACAUUUUAUCCCAAGGCUGAUGAAACUCAUCUGCAGAUGCCAUCCAUCCACUGCUACCACCAUUUGCCUUACUCCGAUCUUAGCCACUGUGUCUGCUUUCUUGACUUCUUAUCCCAAGGCUGAUGAAACUCAUCUGCAUAGCAAGUUCCGCAUGCAAGUUUUGUUCUCAAUAUGAUGCCAAAACUACGGUUUGCUUGUUUUCUCAUUCAGAUGCCAAAAUCUAUGGAUGCGAAAAUCUAUGGAUUGUGUUGGCAUUUACAUUCUCAAUAGACUGUGCUUCACUUCCUGUAGGGUUAGUAUAGGUCUCAAAGUUUCAAUCUUUCUGGUAGAAACUGAAGAAUUUUUUUUUUCUCUUUUUUUUUUU